GGGGACCAGCUCUCGGGAAGAAAGGACUGCAGGAUGGAGGAGGGUUUUGACUUGCCCUGGUGUGUGUGUGUAAACUGGGAUCCGGAGUUUGACAGCAGAGGAGAGACUUCUGGUGUGAAGGCAGAGCGAUCCUGAACACUAGGCUGGUUGGUUUGAUCUGGUGGACACCAACACAAAUCCAGUCCCUCAUAAGCUAGAGCGCUUCCAUGUACAGAAUAGUAUGCAGCCUUCUGCAGUUCACCCAUGAAGCCAUGUCAUGAGGAAGAACUAGAAUUCCCAACAAGUGUUGAGUGUAUGCAAGCAGCCUUAAAGGAUUACGACUCCUACUCUACAGCGAUGAGGAAUUAUGAGCACCCCAUCAAAGUCUAAUAAAUAUUGAUAGACUUUAAUGAAGGACACUGGAACUAGGGAGAAUCCAACAGACUCUGUACCCAUUAAGGAAGCCAAAUGACAUUUAAGACAAGCGCGACUCUGAAGAAAUGCUUUUUGAACUCGUUAAUUCUUGAGGAGAGGCAGAGGCUGUAAGCAGAGCUUUAAAUAAGAGUUUGAUAGAUGAAUGUAACAGGCUUAAAGGAAAGACAAAUAGACAAAUGACUCCCCCCUCCACGUGGUCUGACAGCUACUGUUCUGCAUGGGCAUGCAGUCCCUCUGGUGACAAGGAGCUCCUGUUGAAACUGCUGUCACCAUGGGCUGAAUAUAUUGAAGCCUAACCCCCAGCACUUCAGAAUGCAACCACAUGUGAUGACAGCAUGCCUACAGAGGUGAUUAAGGUAAAAUGAGGUCAUUAGGAUGGACCCUAAUCCAGCAUGACGAAUAUCCUGCUAAUAAGGGUAAACUUGGACACAGACACAGAGAAGGAAGAUGGUGCAAAGACAAAGGGAGAAGAUGGCCAUUUUCUUUUCUUUAUUUUUUCUUUUUUAAGGACCACACCUGUGGCAUAUGGAGGUUCCCGGGCUAGGGGUCAAAUCGGAGCUAUAGCAGCCCAUGUAUGCCAUAGCCAUGGCAAUGCCAGAUCUGAGGCACAUCUGCAACCGAUGCUGCAGCUUGUGGCAAGCUGGAUUCUUAACCCACUGAGCGAGGUCAGGGAUUGAACCAGCAUCCUCAGGGAUACUAGUCGGGUUCAUUACCACCAGGCCUCAACAGGAACUCCAAGAUGGCCGUGUUUAAGCCAAGGAGCAAGGCCUGGAGCAGAUCCUCCCACCAUGGCCCUCACAAGGAACCAGCCCAGAGGUCACCUUGAUCUUGGACUUUCAGCCUCCAGAAUUGUGAGAUGAUACAUUUCUGCUGUUCAAGCCCCCCCAUUCUGUGGUACGGUUAUAGUGCCCCAAGCUGACUAAUGUAGUCGUAACACAUAUCUUUAUUUCAUUUACUUAACAAACACCUAUAUAGAGCUUACUAGAGGCCAGGCAUGCUUUAUGCCCUUUAUGAAUAUUGAUUUAAUCCUCACAACAGCUCUAGGAGGUAGGGACUCUGGUCCCCAUUUUACAGAUGGCAUAACCAAAGCAUGUGGAGAUUAAGUACCCUGCCCAAAGUCUCCUACUUGGUUAGUAAAGGAGGUAGGAUAGGAAUCUGGGCAGCCUGACUCAAGUCCGUGUGCUGAAACCCCACUCCACACCAGCUCUUCUUUUGUCUCCUAGGAUUUAAACAGGGGUUCCAAAUACAGGUUAAAAUGUG
This 1674-nucleotide long non-coding RNA is filed under the name Sus scrofa (pig). RNAcentral describes it as "lncRNA (ENSSSCG00000039791.3)". Lineage: Eukaryota; Metazoa; Chordata; Mammalia; Artiodactyla; Suidae. The record is from RNAcentral.